RNAcentral lists this transfer RNA (65 nucleotides) under Cheirogaleus medius (lesser dwarf lemur). RNAcentral describes it as "tRNA-Phe". It matches the Rfam family "tRNA". Rfam says of the family: Transfer RNA (tRNA) molecules are approximately 80 nucleotides in length. Their secondary structure includes four short double-helical elements and three loops (D, anti-codon, and T loops). Further hydrogen bonds mediate the characteristic L-shaped molecular structure. tRNAs have two regions of fundamental functional importance: the anti-codon, which is responsible for specific mRNA codon recognition, and the 3' end, to which the tRNAs corresponding amino acid is attached (by aminoacyl-tRNA synthetases). tRNAs cope with the degeneracy of the genetic code in two manners: having more than one tRNA (with a specific anti-codon) for a particular amino acid; and 'wobble' base-pairing, i.e. permitting non-standard base-pairing at the 3rd anti-codon position. The record is from RNAcentral. Lineage: Eukaryota; Metazoa; Chordata; Mammalia; Primates; Cheirogaleidae.
GUUAAUGUAGCUUAAAUUAAAGCAAGGCACUGAAAAUGCCUAGACGGGUUGUAACCCCAUAAACA